GGUGUGGUGAAGCUCAACGGCGAGCCAGGGAAUAGGCUUGCGGCAAAAAUUCGCGAUGAAAACCGCAAGGCGCGCGUAACCCAAUCUGCAGCGCACCGAUGGAAGCUGGUUCGACUCCAGCUACCACACCACCA
This 134-nucleotide transfer RNA is filed under the name Enterobacter cloacae. RNAcentral's name for it is "tRNA-OTHER". Lineage: Bacteria; Pseudomonadati; Pseudomonadota; Gammaproteobacteria; Enterobacterales; Enterobacteriaceae. The record is from RNAcentral.